GUGGUUUGAGAGGAGUUGCGAUGACAAACUGUUGCAGUAGUACAUUAAAGUAAAUAAGUUCAAAGGGGCGUAACUCCUUGAAAAAAAAUUGAAUCGCAAUUUCCCGUCGAUAUGCACAACUUCAUAGUAUGUCCUUAUUAUCUGAAAAGGUUUCGUGAAAUUCUGUUGUGUGGUUUGAGAGGAGUUGAGAUGACAAACUGUUGCAGAAGUACAUUGAAGCAAAUAAGUUCAAAGGGGCUUAACUCCUAGAAAAAAAUUGAACCGUAAUUUCCUGUUGAUAUGCACAUCUACAUAGUAUGUCCUUAUUAUCUACAAAGUUUCGUGAAAUUCUGUUGUGUGGUUUGAGAGGAGUUGCGAUGACAAACUGUUGCAGUAGUACAUUAAAGUAAAUAAGUUCAAAGGGGUGCAACUCCUAGAAAAAAAAUUGAAUCGCAAUUUCCUGUCGAUAUGCACAACUACAUAGUAUGUCCUUAUUAUCUGAAAAGGUUUCGUGAAAUUCUGUUGUGUGGUUUGAGAGGAGUUGCGAUGACAAACUGUUGCAGUAGUACAUUAAAGUAAAUAAGUUCAAAGGGGCGUAACUCCUAGAAAAAAAUUGAAUCGCAAUUUCCCGUCGAUAUGCACAACUACAUAGUAUGUCCUUAUUAUCUGAAAAGGUUUCGUGAAAUUCUGUGUGUGGUUUGAGAGGAGUUGCGAUGACAAACUGUUGCAGUAGUACAUUAAAGUAAAUAAGUUCAAAGGGGCGUAACUCCUAGAAAAAAAAUUGAAU
Molecule: long non-coding RNA, 766 nt
Filed under: Mytilus galloprovincialis (Mediterranean mussel)
Lineage: Eukaryota; Metazoa; Mollusca; Bivalvia; Mytilida; Mytilidae
Source: RNAcentral